RNAcentral lists this ribosomal RNA (216 nucleotides) under uncultured Anoxybacillus sp. RNAcentral's name for it is "partial 16S ribosomal RNA". It matches the Rfam family "Bacterial small subunit ribosomal RNA", at positions 1166 to 1382 of the family's 1533-position model. The record is from RNAcentral. Lineage: Bacteria; Bacillati; Bacillota; Bacilli; Caryophanales; Anoxybacillaceae.
GGAGAAGUGGGGAUGACGUCAAAUCAUCAUGCCCUUUAUGACCUGGGCUACACACGUGCUACAAUGGGCGGUACAAAGGGUCGCGAACCCGCGAGGGGGAGCCAAUCCCAAAAAGCCGCUCUCAGUUCGGAUUGCAGGCUGCAACUCGCCUGCAUGAAGCCGGAAUCGCUAGUAAUCGCGGAUCAGCAUGCCGCGGUGAAUACGUUCCCGGGCCUU